RNAcentral lists this long non-coding RNA (704 nucleotides) under Fukomys damarensis (Damara mole-rat). Its description in RNAcentral is "lncRNA (ENSFDAG00000023398.1)". The record is from RNAcentral. Lineage: Eukaryota; Metazoa; Chordata; Mammalia; Rodentia; Bathyergidae.
AUGUACAUUCCUCCUUGUGCACGUCCCCAGCACCUGGCAGAUUGGCUGCCACCCUGCUUGCUGCACAGCGCCUACCCAGUGGCACACCAGCUCUCCCAGGACAUGGAUUUUCCUUUGACCCUCCAGAGUGGACAACCUAGCACUGAGCAAACGCUUGGCAGAUAUCUGAACAAGGGAAUAAAAGUGAGGCCCAGAGUUGGAACACAGUGGGCCGUGGGCCACGCGGGAAGUAAAAAGCAGCAUUUGUGUUCUGGCCUUCUGUCCCCAGCCCUGGUUCUAUUUCCUCGUCACUGGCAAGGGCUCAGCUUGGGUUUGCAGAAGCCUAGGUCCCGCCUCCCUCCCUUCCUGAGCGGUGUGGGAGUCAGCAAUGGGUGGGCAGCAGCCUUUCCUGGGGCCUGUGUAAAGGCAAUAGCAAGGGGUUGUGAUGUGUCCACCCAGAGACCCUGCCCACUCCCACCCAGAUCCUAGUCGAGGGCUAGGAACACAACCUUCUGGUCUUUUUGUCUCCUGAUUUACGGAGUGGGAUCUCCCCCGGAAACGUGUGCUGCAGGGUGGCAGUUCCUCACCUUUCUGGGAAGAUGGCUCUCUCUCUCACAGAAGAGAUGCUGAAGAAUAGAAGGGAAAAAAUGGAAAGAAAGCCUUCAUAUAGAGGCAGGGGAGGGAACUUGGGGGUGAAUGGGAUAAAAUAACAUUUAUUAAUAAAA